UAGACGAGCCUUACCCCUGCCCGAAAGGGCAGAGAGGCUGUUUCCAAUCGACCCUCGGCGAAUAGGAUAAAGGAAAAAGCUGCAUUAAGAAACAAAGGUAAAAUUAGAAACACAAGCAAGACAAAGCAAAAUAAAACAAAAUAAUAAAGAAUAAGUACUCCCGCAAAAAUAACGUAAAUAAUUAUGAAAACAUAAGCAACAUAAAGACAUAAAUACAGUCGC
RNAcentral lists this long non-coding RNA (222 nucleotides) under Nicotiana benthamiana. RNAcentral describes it as "long non-coding RNA (NBEN_LNC014972)". The record is from RNAcentral. Lineage: Eukaryota; Viridiplantae; Streptophyta; Magnoliopsida; Solanales; Solanaceae.